GGCGGAGGGGGGAGGAUUGGAGCCCAUGUCUUUAAUAGGAAACUUGGUUUCUAAUACAAGAGCAAGACUUUAUUUAGGCAAAAUGCAUUUCUCAUACAGUUAUACCUCAUCUUUAUAAUAGGAUCACCACUAUCUUGUUGAAAGUUUAUGGUUGCUCUGAUACCACUGUUAAUUUUUUUUUUUUUUUAAAAAUACAAACUAAAGAAUUCGAGGAGAGAUAGACACACAACUAAACUUUACUCAAAUAUUCUUUUUCACACAGUACAUUUUUCCACACACAACCACACACACAUUUCAAUUCAAGGAGCACAAAUAUAUAGCUUUUUCACACAAUACAUUUUUCCACACACAACCACACACACAUUUCAAUUCAAGG
Molecule: long non-coding RNA, 376 nt
Filed under: Amborella trichopoda
Lineage: Eukaryota; Viridiplantae; Streptophyta; Magnoliopsida; Amborellales; Amborellaceae
Description: long non-coding RNA (ATRI_LNC000602)
Source: RNAcentral